Corythoichthys intestinalis (scribbled pipefish) is the source of this 1030-nucleotide long non-coding RNA. RefSeq lists it as uncharacterized. The transcript has 5 exons. Lineage: Eukaryota; Metazoa; Chordata; Actinopteri; Syngnathiformes; Syngnathidae. The record is from RefSeq and is a predicted model, not a curated record.
CAUCCAUGCAUGAAUGGUGCGUCGGUGGACCGCUGAAUGGGCAAAGGAAGAGGCGUGUGCUCACACAGACUUCAUAGCAGCAGUGACACCAGGAGCAUCUCCUCGGCUGGACGUCUGUAUUGGGAGAAGACGACGAUAAGCAGAUAUCAUCUCAAAGAAGUUUUUCAAUUAAAAUCAUCCCUCAUAGCAGAAGUAAGCCAUGGAGCAAAAGACAAAUGAGUGCUCUGCCAGCACCUCCCCUCAGAAACGGAUGAAGAACCGCUCCAAGUCCAUAGAGGAGUCGCAACAGUCCAAAAGAGCCUUUUCUUCACAGAAAUCCCUUCCUGGAAGACCAGAGCUGGACAGAGUAAAGGAGUGCCUUGAAGGUUCUGAGACGCCUUCAUCCUCUACUGAAGAAUUGAAAGGAUAAUCAAAUUGUCAUUAGACGCAAAGAUGUACAUGCCAUAUGAUAUAUAGAACUAAAAUAAGUGACACAACUGUAAUGUAAAGCGAUACGACUUAAUUACUGCAACCUGCUACAUAUAUACUGUACAUUAUAAUGAGAACGCAUGUUAAAAAUAAAACCAAAAAAACAUGUUUUUAUUCUCCUGUUCUGUUAUAACUAUUACAAAUUGUGAAUUGAGAAAAGGUAAUGACAUUAGGUGUACUUAUUACUUUGUUCUAAAUACCAAGCCUAUGCGAGGAAGAGUUUUUUUUUGUUUUUGUCUAUGUUGUUUUUUCAAAAUGUGAUUUUUGUUGUUGUUGUUGCAUGCUGUAGCCAAUAAAAGAGAAGGAAAAAAAAGAUUUAGUCUCCUAACCUAUUUGCCUAUUUUCAGCAGAAUGUUGUUAUGGCCGAUGUGACAAUUUUUGGUUUCAUAUUGUAUAUUGUAUAUUCUUUGUUGCAACAAUUUUUUAAACACUUAAUUUGUCCAAAAUAUCAGAAGCCACAGUCAGAAUGUUGCUGUGCAUAUUUAAAGCAUUUUUAAUGUAGAGCAAACUCACAGUGCUUUUCAAAGGUGAUCUUUUUUUCUGUUUUUAAAUUUACUUCCUG